Manis pentadactyla (Chinese pangolin) is the source of this 2515-nucleotide long non-coding RNA. RefSeq lists it as uncharacterized. The transcript has 5 exons. The record is from RefSeq and is a predicted model, not a curated record. NCBI's taxonomy places the organism in Eukaryota, Metazoa, Chordata, Mammalia, Pholidota, Manidae.
GCUAAACAAUUAUAUUUGGCUUGACAGAGAGUGAUGAAAACAGUCAUUUAAACUUUUUUAUAAAGGAUAACUUUUACUACCUGAUGCCAUAUUUGUGGUUACUGACUAGAUCAAGCUAUUGGAGGAAGAGAGUAGAGUACUGGGAUAGGUUGCAAGUUCCUGUUAUGUGCAUAAUUGGAGAACGGAUCAUUUCCUUCCUUUAUGAUAUAAUUGUGAGGAGAAUUUCAGAUAGGCCUAAGGGUUUCUUAGAUUAUUCAGAAAUAGCAUGGAAGAACAUUUCAGUAUUUCUUCCAUUCCUGCUAAAGAUUAUCUGAAAAGGUGAGAGUAAAAAAUAAAUGACCUCUUUGGGCAGUCAUUGGCUGGUAGUUUUUCUCCGUUGACUAUUCUUGACCAUUCUAAAGUCAUCUAAUUUGUGUGUCUCACUUUUGACUAUAUUGUUUAGGUCUCAGGUGAAUGUGAUGAAGAAAAGACGCAGUUGCAGCUACGCUGAGGACAGCUGGCCUCCUCAAAAACAUUUCCUUCAUUCGUAAAUCUUAACUGUGAACCGCAGGAUGUAAUAGUUCCAAGAAAAGACACUUCUGCUGGCUUUGAUUUUAUCUGUUAACAGUAUUACUCAUUCAAGUGUUCUUCACUUCCAUCUUUUGUCCUCGAAAACACCCCUUGGUGAUAUGAUUGUAAGGAUAGGUGAUGACUGAAUAGGAAACUGAUGCCAUUCAUUAUUUCUGCUACUAUCUUUAAAACCAAGAUGGUCUUCAAAAUGUAUGGAGACUCUUCUUUCAUUUGUUCAGUGGACACUCCUUGAAGAUCAGAAAAACUGGACUGAGAAAGCUGAUGUACGAAAUUGACAUAAAGGUUGUCAUUGGAGAAAAUUUAACCAGGCAUGUUAACUGUUUUAUUGUUGCCUUAGACUAAAUCUCAGGUGCUUGAAUGGUGAUGAUUUAUGUCAGGAUGGUGUAAUUGCAAGACUUCAUUUCAGUGUUCCCAUAAGUGUAUAUAUUUACAUGUUUAAAAUGAUUUAUAAAACUACCAUCUUUUCAAGAUUUCAAGAGACAUAAGAAUUUCUGAAGCAUAGUUUUACUUAAAUGCCUUUUUAUUCUAAUCCUAUUCCCCAAAUUAUCUACUAUUGGAAUUUUUGUGCAUAUCCUUUUGAUGUGUUAGUGAACUGAUGUGCAAGUAGUUAUUUUUGGCCUAUAAGAUAGAAAUUUCUAUUCAGUGAACAUGCUUAUAUCUUAAUUACUUUGAAUUUGUCCAACUGAUUUGUUGAAAUUACUCCAGUGAAUUGAAACUGCCAGAACUAAGGGUAUCCAAAAUUUAUAUUUUGAGUCAAAACUACAGGUUUCCCUCUUAAUCGUAGAAAUGGGUCUCAUCAGUCUUGUCUCCCAGUGUUUAUGAGAGUUCUGUUUCUUAAAACAGUGGAAAUAAUUAGAUACCAGUGUUUUAUUCUUUGACAAUGUUACAUUACAAAGAAACAGCUUUAUUUCUGUUAUUGUUCAGCUUACUCAUUUUCAUAUAUUCUUAAUCCUUACUAGUCAUUUGCCACAUUUCAUUUUCCUGUUUUGUUAUUUUUAGUUACUCUUGCAAUAUUACUGUCUUUGUUACUGGUUUCUAGGAACUUCUUUUUAACUUUGAAUGUCAACCAUUUGUCAUGCAUUACAAAUGAAAUACCAUGUUUUUUGCUAUCAUUUUACUAUGUGUUUUAUUUUUGGUUGUACAGAAGUUAUGUAUUGAAAUACAGUCACGAUUUGUUUCAUGCCUAUUGAGUUUUGUGUUUUUCUUCAAAAAAGGUUAAAUACAUUUGUCUGUAUUUUCUUGUAUUUUUCAUCAAUUAUUUUGUCAUUUACUUUUUCCAUUAAUCAUCUCUGUGAUUUUAAAGCAUUAAAGCAUUACAUUUUCAAUUUACUCACCAUGACUUAAGCAGUUACCACUUAAUUUUAAAUUCUACCAUAAUACAGAAAUUUCCACAUAUAAAGGGCUGCAUUUCAAUUUAUAUGUUCACUUUACCUUUUAUUGAUACAUUAAAAUUACUGAUGCUUUUUAGUCUUAUCUAUUCCAUUUGGUUCUAUUUCAUUUCUCUUUUUUUCAGAAUAUUCCCUGUUUAUACUUGCAUUUUUUUCUCUCAAUUGACGCUUAGAAUUAUGUUUCAAGUUGGAAAAAAAUGCUGUUUUAAUUUCCUUUCUACCAAAUUUAAUAGAUUAAUUAGGAGAGUAUAGAUCUCUUUAAAACUGAGUCUUCUUAUCCAACUGCAAGUUUUAACUGAGGUGUUACCAGUUUAAGAAGUGAGACCUUUUAGAUGCUUCACUACCUGAUAUUUCUAUUACAAUCCAAAUUCUUAUACUUGUAUAUAAUUUCUGUGGACUUCAUUCUUCAAAAUUACUGCAUCUUUCGUAAGCAAGGACUAAAGAGAUUUUGACUGCAGGUAAGAGCCUUAAAGCCUGUAUCCUGGUUUUUAAGAGAUCCUUUUGGCUAUAGAUGAUAGAUUAGAUUCUUUUCUGAAUUGUGUGAUACUACAUUUCUU